GCCUGGCUGGCUCAGUCGGUGAAGCGUGUGACUCUUGAUCUUGAGGCUGUGAGUUCGAGCCCCACGUUGGGUG
This 73-nucleotide transfer RNA is filed under the name Ailuropoda melanoleuca (giant panda). It matches the Rfam family "tRNA". From Rfam's summary of the family: Transfer RNA (tRNA) molecules are approximately 80 nucleotides in length. Their secondary structure includes four short double-helical elements and three loops (D, anti-codon, and T loops). Lineage: Eukaryota; Metazoa; Chordata; Mammalia; Carnivora; Ursidae. The record is from Rfam by way of RNAcentral.